CCAGGGGACGUGGAUAACCUCGGGAAACUGAGGGAUAAACCGCGAUAGGUCACUACUUCUGGAAUGGGUCAUGACCCAAACCUAUAUGGCCCCUGGAUUUGGACUGCGGCCGAUCAGGCUGUUGGUAGAGGUAAUGGCCCAACAAACCUGUAACCGGUACAGGGCUCUGAGAGGAGGAGCCCGGAGAUGGGCACUGAGACAAGGGCCCAGGCCCUAUGGGGACGCAGAAGGCGCGAAACCUCUGCAAUAGGCGAAAGCUUGACAGGGUUACUCUGAGUGAUUUCCGUUAAGGACGAUCUUUAUGGCACCUCUAAAAAUGGUGCAGAAUAAGGGGUGGGCAAGUCUGGUGCCAGCC
Molecule: ribosomal RNA, 355 nt
Filed under: unidentified archaeon
Lineage: Archaea
Description: bacterial SSU rRNA
Rfam family: Archaeal small subunit ribosomal RNA
Source: RNAcentral